This 73-nucleotide transfer RNA is filed under the name Dermacentor silvarum. Its description in RNAcentral is "transfer RNA tyrosine (anticodon GUA)". It matches the Rfam family "tRNA". Rfam says of the family: Transfer RNA (tRNA) molecules are approximately 80 nucleotides in length. Their secondary structure includes four short double-helical elements and three loops (D, anti-codon, and T loops). The record is from RNAcentral. Lineage: Eukaryota; Metazoa; Arthropoda; Arachnida; Ixodida; Ixodidae.
CCGUCUAUAGCUCAGUUGGUAGAGCGGUGGACUGUAGAUCCAUAGGUCGCUGGUUCGAAUCCGGCUCGACGGA